This 71-nucleotide transfer RNA is filed under the name Nanobdellota archaeon. RNAcentral describes it as "tRNA-Gly". It matches the Rfam family "tRNA". From Rfam's summary of the family: Transfer RNA (tRNA) molecules are approximately 80 nucleotides in length. Their secondary structure includes four short double-helical elements and three loops (D, anti-codon, and T loops). Lineage: Archaea; Nanobdellati; Nanobdellota. The record is from RNAcentral.
GCAGUAUUAGUUUAAUGGCAGAAUGUCGCCUUCCCAAGGCGGAGAUACGGGUUCGAUUCCCGUAUACUGCA